Molecule: ribosomal RNA, 1299 nt
Filed under: Schistosoma japonicum
Lineage: Eukaryota; Metazoa; Platyhelminthes; Trematoda; Strigeidida; Schistosomatidae
Description: SSU rRNA
Rfam family: Eukaryotic small subunit ribosomal RNA
Source: RNAcentral
GGAUCUUUCAAAUGUCUGCCCUAUCAAUUUGUUGGUAGGUGAUUUGCCUACCAUGAUGAUAACGGGUAACGGGGAAUCAGGGUUCGAUUCCGGAGAGGGAGCCUGAGAAAUGGCUACCACAUCCAAGGACGGCAGCAGGCGCGAAAAUUACCCACUCCCAGCACGGGGAGGUAGUGACGAAAAAUACGGAUACGGGACUCAAUUGAGGCUCCGUAAUUCGAAUGAGUACAAUUUAAAUCCUUUAACGAGGACCAAUUGGAGGGCAAGUCUGGUGCCAGCAGCCGCGGUAACUCCAGCUCCAAAAGCGUAUAUUAAAGUUGCUGCAGUUAAAAAGCUCGUAGUUGGAUCUGGGUAGUGCGAUCGCAUGCUGUUGCUUGUUCACGGUCUUGGUUACGAUCAGGGCAGUGGUCAGCUCGGCGUAGUGGUUGUGCAACCUUUCAGCCGUGUCUGUGUUUUAUUAAACAGGUGUCGAUGGGUUAAUGAGUAUUGUAUCUUAUUGACCUGUUGGCAUGCUUUCGGAUGCCUUUAAACGGGUGUCGGGGGCGGACGGCAUCUUUACUUUGAACAAAUUUGAGUGCUCAAAGCAGGCCUAUGCGCCUGAAAAUUCUUGCAUGGAAUAAUGAAAUAGGACUUCGGUUCUAUUUUGUUGGUUUUCGGAUCCGAAGUAAUGGUUAAGAGGGACAGACGGGGGCAUUUGUAUGGCGGUGUUAGAGGUGAAAUUCUGGGAUCGCCGCCAGACAAACUACAGCGAAAGCAUUUGCCAAGAAUGUUUUCAUUGAUCAGGAGCGAAAGUCAGAGUUUCGAAGACGAUCAGAUACCGUCGUAGUUCUGACCAUAAACGAUGCCAACUGACGAUCCGCGUUGGUUCUAUAAUUGACAUCGCGGGCAGUCCCCGGGAAACCUUUAAGUCUUUGGGCUCCGGGGGGAGUAUGGUUGCAAAGCUGAAACUUAAAGGAAUUGACGGAAGGGCACCACCAGGAGUGGAGCCUGCGGUUUAAUUCGACUCAACACGGGAAAACUCACCCGGCCCGGACACUGUGAGGAUUGACAGAUUGAAAGCUCUUUCUUGAUUCGGUGGUUGGUGGUGCAUGGCCGUUCUUAGUUGGUGGAGCGAUUUGUCUGGUUAAUUCCGAUAACGAACGAGACUUUAACCUACUAAAUAGUAGACUGGUCCUCUGUGCUCGUUCAGGGCGCGGCUUCUACUGCUUCUUUAUGGAGUAGUGUGGUCGUGAUCCGACGGGUGCGGUGCCAGUUUUUACUUCUUAGAGGGACAAGCGGCACAGUUAAGUCGCACGAAAU